Molecule: ribosomal RNA, 1516 nt
Filed under: metagenome
Description: bacterial LSU rRNA
Rfam family: Bacterial large subunit ribosomal RNA
Source: RNAcentral
UUAGCUGAUGGGAAACAGGUCAAUAUUCCUGUACCGAUGUGUAGUGCGAUGUGGGGACGGAUCUUAAUAAGUCAUCCGGGUGUUGGAUAUCCCGGUUUAGCUGGAUGUAGGCGAUGGGCAGGCAAAUCCGCCCGUCAUAUACCGAGGCCAGUGAUCGAGCAAGCUUGCUUGUGAAGUGAUCGAACGAGGUUCCAGGAAAAGCCACUAAGCUUCAGCUGCACACGACCGUACCGCAAACCGACACUGGUGCGCGAGAUGAGUAUUCUAAGGCGCUUGAGAGAACUCGGGAGAAGGAACUCGGCAAAUUGACACCGUAACUUCGGAAGAAGGUGUGCCCUAUUAGUGUGAAGCGAACAGCGGAGCAUGAACGGGUUGCAAAGAAUCGGUGGCUGCGACUGUUUAUUAAAAACACAGCACUCUGCAAACACGAAAGUGGACGUAUAGGGUGUGACGCCUGCCCGGUGCUGGAAGAUUAAAUGAUGGGGUGCAAGCUCUUGAUUGAAGUCCCAGUAAACGGCGGCCGUAACUAUAACGGUCCUAAGGUAGCGAAAUUCCUUGUCGGGUAAGUUCCGACCUGCACGAAUGGCGUAACGAUGGCCACACUGUCUCCUCCCGAGACUCAGCGAAGUUGAAAUGUUUGUGAUGAUGCAAUCUCCCCGCGGAAAGACGGAAAGACCCCAUGAACCUUUACUGUAGCUUUGUAUUGGACUUUGAACAGAUCUGUGUAGGAUAGGUGGGAGGCUUUGAAGCAGGGUCGCUAGAUCUUGUGGAGCCAACGUUGAAAUACCACCCUGGUGUGUUUGAGGUUCUAACCUAGGUCCAUUAUCUGGAUCGGGGACCGUGCAUGGUAGGCAGUUUGACUGGGGCGGUCUCCUCCCAAAGCGUAACGGAGGAGUUCGAAGGUACGCUAGUUACGGUCGGACAUCGUGACGAUAGUGCAAUGGCAUAAGCGUGCUUAACUGCGAGACUGACAAGUCAAGCAGAUGCGAAAGCAGGACAUAGUGAUCCGGUGGUUCUGUAUGGAAGGGCCAUCGCUCAACGGAUAAAAGGUACUCUGGGGAUAACAGGCUGAUACCGCCCAAGAGUUCAUAUCGACGGCGGUGUUUGGCACCUCGAUGUCGGCUCAUCUCAUCCUGGGGCUGUAGCCGGUCCCAAGGGUAUGGCUGUUCGCCAUUUAAAGAGGUACGUGAGCUGGGUUUAAAACGUCGUGAGACAGUUUGGUCCCUAUCUUCCGUGGGCGCUGCAGAUUUGAGGAAGCCUGCUCCUAGUACGAGAGGACCGGAGUGGACACACCUCUGGUGUAUCGGUUGUCACGCCAGUGGCAUUGCCGAGUAGCUAUGUGUGGAAGAGAUAAACGCUGAAAGCAUCUAAGCGUGAAACUCGUUUCAAGAUGAGAUCUGCCGGGGCCUUGAGCCCCCUGAAGAGUCGUUCGAGACCAGGACGUUGAUAGGCAGGGUGUGGAAGCGCAGUAAUGCGUUAAGCUAACCUGUACUAAUUGCUCGUGUGGCUUGACCCG